CGAUUUGUUCAAUUCAUUAAAAUGUUAAAUUUGGCUCAAAAGAUAAAAAAAUGAAUAAGUCAAAGAAGAAAUCAAAACAAGCACCUCUCCGUUUCCGUAAGCAUCAAGGAUAUCUAACUUCUGGUUCUCUCAGCCAUCUUAGUAUAUCUUUAGUUUUGUACAAGUGCUUACCACCACCACGAGUCCUUAUUGGACUCUUGUCGAUGUCCCAUGAUUUUACUUACGUUAUCUAGUAUACAUCCUCAAUUUUUCAACUAGUUUUGUUUGUUAACUUUUAUGUAAAUACUUUUUCUUGUUAACUUUUAUGUAAUACUUAGUGUAGGUAUAUAAUAAAACUU
Molecule: long non-coding RNA, 338 nt
Filed under: Capsella rubella
Lineage: Eukaryota; Viridiplantae; Streptophyta; Magnoliopsida; Brassicales; Brassicaceae
Description: long non-coding RNA (CRUB_LNC003197)
Source: RNAcentral